This 1068-nucleotide long non-coding RNA is filed under the name Homo sapiens (human). RNAcentral describes it as "HSALNT0173197". Lineage: Eukaryota; Metazoa; Chordata; Mammalia; Primates; Hominidae. The record is from RNAcentral.
AAUAAACACUUUGGAGAAUAAAUUAGAUUAGGAAUACAAAGAAAUAUAUUUCAUCACUACCUUUGAGGUUAGUUUUGAUAACAUUUAAUUUUUCUCUACCAAAUUAUUCAACUAAAAUAUGAGAUAAUCAUCUAUGGUCAAAUGAUCUCAGACCCAUUAAAUCUUUAAAAUUCUGUGAUUUUUAGAAUUUGUUUCUACAAUCUAGAUAAUCACGAGGCUAAUAUAUUUGACAUAUGUAUUCUGUUUUAUUAGCAUAUAACAUUUUAUAUCACUUUAACUCAAAAGCUGCAUUCACGUCCAUUUGAUCCUUGAAAUCAAGCCAUUUUAUUCCAAAAUGAUAUCUAUCUGAAUUUGUAUGAGCAUUUAGUUCAAGGAAGUAGAACAAAAUGGCCAGGAAUCCAAAAUUGGGGUUGUGAAUUUUCACUAAAUCUUGUCAUUUAUUUUAAAUUCUUGACUAUGGACCCCAGUCUCAGCCAAUCUGAAUAAAUAAACUACUGGGCACCAUCAGGAUCCUGUGCAUUUCUGAAAAUGAGUAAGUGUACCCUCAUCACUCAUUUUUUGAAACUAAACUCAAAAUGCACAUCGUAGCAGAUUAGAAGAGUCAUUUGUACACAUAAGUAAUGCAAGCAUCUAUGCACAUCACUUUGCCUUCUGCUGAGUUUGAUUUAAGGUGCUUUAUUCUCAAGCUUUCAGUACAAUGACUAAAGGGAAUCCUACAAUGCUCGGAGGGCUACACUCCUGGUUAGACUCUUAACCUUCUGCCUAGGAUCUGAUGGAUAACUUGACAUUUUAAAAGCAUCCUUUUCAGUUCACAUUACUUGAAGCGAGAUGUUCAAGGCCAGAGUAAAUGAAAAUAGAUUCCACUUCUCUCUCAGAUUCAGUGUUGGAAAGACUGUAUGUUUCUCUCCCUUCUAGCAAUAAAUGAUUAAUGAUCAUCACCAUUGCCGGAGAUCCAGAGCUCCUCUUGUUGCCAUCCUUACACUGCUCACACUACCAAGAACCUCGUAUACCAAAGGAGAGUCAGGUGGGCUCUCCAGAUUUAGACAGAGAGCUUCAUGUUAAGCACCU